Molecule: long non-coding RNA, 513 nt
Organism: Myripristis murdjan (pinecone soldierfish)
Lineage: Eukaryota; Metazoa; Chordata; Actinopteri; Holocentriformes; Holocentridae
Exons: 4
Source: RefSeq, a predicted model, not a curated record
AACACACGAGCUGUGAACUCUCCCUUACAAAGCAGCCUCUCUUCCCUGAAAUCAGUGGGUGCUUGACUGAUGGUCUACAUAUAGGCUUUGAACAUUUCUGUAGCUUUAACUUGAAAUGUCAUCUCUGUUUUUGUUUUUAUUUUUUCACUUUUACCCACAACAAUUUCAGAAGUAUUCAGCUUGAGGCGACGAUGGCAGGCAUUGUUUUCGCCACCUGAUGAUUACCCAUAAUCCACGUGACCCCCCCCGAACAUGACCUCUGUCUGCAGUGAACACUGAUAUUCCAAGUUUUGAAGUAUUGAUCAAGGUCCUGUAAAUGUAUCCCAUGGCUUUUCCGGUGCGGCUGCACACUCCGCUGGACAUGAUGAAACUGCUCUCAUCUUUUACCUCAGCCUCAUCUGCAUUCCGUUCCAUAUAAAAGAGAAGAUGGCAAAAUCCUGGAAGUCUUGCUUGAUAUUAAUCUGUAGGUGAUGCAGGUAACCAUGGAAAAAAAACAAAACAAAAAAAAAAAAA